AUUAAAAGAAAAGUUACACGUUUACGAACACAAACAGGACAUAUCAUCGUCAAGAUUCGAUUCUGGAGAUUUCUGAUUUUGAACGUGGCCUUGAUAAGGUCUAGGUUCUCUGUCUUGUCUGUUUAUUAUUGGAAGGUGCAAUGCAAAUAAGGUUUUUCACUUUGUUUUUGGGCCUAAAAAAAAAUAUAGAGCACAAGACUCUUGCUUUAUAGUUGCUGACAUUGUUUUUGGGCCUAGAAAAAAUAGAGCGCACGAAGCUCUUGUUUUAUAGGUGCUGUGCCUGUUUUGUUUUGUUCUCUCUGGAUAAGAUAAGGAGGAGAG
This 321-nucleotide unclassified non-coding RNA is filed under the name Hevea brasiliensis (rubber tree). The record is from RNAcentral. Lineage: Eukaryota; Viridiplantae; Streptophyta; Magnoliopsida; Malpighiales; Euphorbiaceae.